GAAAUGCGAUAAGUAGUGUGAAUUGCAGAAUUCAGUGAAUCAUCGAAUCUUUGAACGCACAUUGCGCCCUUUGGUAUCCCUUGGGGCAUGCCUGUUCGAGCGUCAUCUAAACCCUCAAGCCCUGCUUGGUGUUGGGUGCCUGUCCCGCCCCCGUGCGUGGACUCACCUCAAAUCCAUUGGCGGCCCUCGUACCGGCCCCGAGCGCAGCAGAAACGCGGUCUCGUGGCCCGGCGGAGCGUGCCCCCAGAAGCAACAUUCACCGUUUUGACCUCGGAUCAGGUAGGGAUACCCGCUGAACUUAAGC
RNAcentral lists this unclassified non-coding RNA (304 nucleotides) under plant metagenome. RNAcentral describes it as "partial contains 5.8S ribosomal RNA, internal transcribed spacer 2, and large subunit ribosomal RNA". The stretch from base 1 to 105 matches the Rfam family "5.8S ribosomal RNA", at positions 50 to 154 of the family's 154-position model. The record is from RNAcentral.